This 496-nucleotide ribosomal RNA is filed under the name uncultured bacterium. RNAcentral describes it as "partial 16S ribosomal RNA". It matches the Rfam family "Bacterial small subunit ribosomal RNA", at positions 28 to 506 of the family's 1533-position model. The record is from RNAcentral.
GAUGAACGCUGGCGGCGUGCCUAAUACAUGCAAGUCGAGCGAACAGACGAGGAGCUUGCUCCCCUGACGUUAGCGGCGGACGGGUGAGUAACACGUGGAUAACCUACCUAUAAGACUGGGAUAACUUCGGGAAACCGGAGCUAAUACCGGAUAAUAUAUUGAACCGCAUGGUUCAAUAGUGAAAGACGGUUUUGCUGUCACUUAUAGAUGGAUCCGCGCCGCAUUAGCUAGUUGGUAAGGUAACGGCUUACCAAGGCAACGAUGCGUAGCCGACCUGAGAGGGUGAUCGGCCACACUGGAACUGAGACACGGUCCAGACUCCUACGGGAGGCAGCAGUAGGGAAUCUUCCGCAAUGGGCGAAAGCUUGACGGAGCAACGCCGCGUGAGUGAUGAAGGUCUUCGGAUCGUAAAACUCUGUUAUUAGGGAAGAACAAAUGUGUAAGUAACUAUGCACGUCUUGACGGUACCUAAUCAGAAAGCCACGGCUAACUACGU